GGGCGAUGAGGUAAUUUGAGCGGUGACGGGUCGGUCCUCGCGCGCCUCCCUGGGUCCCUGCACCUAGUUGGAGGGGACUGAACGACAACGGGGCGCUACUCAGGCAACCUGGGGGACUCCCCCAAGGGCUGUCAGGCUUCAGCUGGGAGCCGAUGCAACACCCCAGCGGGGAGGGGAGGUCGGCCCAUUCUAAUCCCGACGUGUCCUUGGUCCCAGGCGCUCGGAGCAGCAUCUGAGAGGGCUCACUCUGAUCAUCAGCUGCACGUUAAGCCACAAACCGGCGUCGCUUCGGCGUUCCGGAACCCAGGCCUGGGGGCCGCGGGGAUUGCCUCUGCGUGCAACUCCGGAAAGUUUCAAGGGGUCCCCCGACUGCACAGGUACCCUCACCUUUCCUGCCGGCGAACGCUGGCGACCGCCCGACCCUGCCCUCUUUCUCUCUUCGCACGCAGGUCCGGAAAUCGGCUUUGAUAUGGAACUACUCCGCUCUAGCCUGGAAAGGAGACCCGCGCACUCCUCUCGCAGCUAAUUUCGGAUCAUUAAUUUAAUCGGAAAUGAGGUAACCAGUGUAGGAGACAGAGAAAGCAACCGGAGCAUCAAAUGGCAGUUCUCGAGAAUCGACGAGGAACUUAAAUCUGGACUCAGGGUUUCAGUGCGGUCUCCGACUCCCACCACCCCGCCCCUCCGCCUGUCUCGCCGCCAGGUGUGACCUCCACGCGAAGGAAUCUUCUUCGGAUGGGUGCACCUUGCCAACAGGUGUGGCACCUGGAGGACUAGGAGGCGCCUCCAGACUAAGGGCGCUCAGUGCGGCGUUCUUGUUGCAGAUGAUUCUGGAAGGCCGGUAGGUGUCGGGCGACAUUUGACCUUCUUCAGGUGCUUAGAACUAAGUGUCUGGAAACAUGAUCCUUUCGCGUAAGUUUCUUUCUGAAAGCCACCAAUCUUGACUGUAAGCUGUAUUUGAGAGAUCUUUUGGCUGAGUUUACUUAUGACCUAACGGUUAGUCACCAACUGAGGCAGGGCACAGGAUGACCAAAAAAAAAGUGUCAGUUUUUACACAACUCUGGCCUGCAAGAGCCUACGUGCUUCAUAAAUAAAAAUAAACAUACGAGCGAGGAAGGUGCAGAGCCCCGGAAAUAUUUUUUUCUCACAUUUUUGAAAUACCAUGCACAUAUAUGUGGCUAUUUAAGUAUAACUACUAGUGUUCACUCUUACUCAUUUCUACAACUUUUUUUUUUCCAUUUAAAAAUCGAUUAUUGUUACGGUUUAAACCUCGGGUUGGUCUAAAGUGACAUUGUUGGUCUCAUUACAGCCUCUAGUGGACAGUUAACAUCAGUUUCCUGAAAAGGCUCUGACUGGUUUUGUUUUCGUUGACAAGCUUUGUCAAGGUGAAGGUUAGUACGUAAGAGCAUAACCGGGUAAAAUGUCCCCUCACCCCUAUCCUCACCCCCGCCCCCAACACCCUGCUUGGCAAAGACGACUUCAGAAAGGAGCAGAAGCUUGUUGGCUUUAUAUAGAAAAGACGUAUGCUUUGUGCUGCAGGUAUUAUUAUUACUGGACUGUGAAUAAACAGAAAGCUUCUGCUAUUCAUUUCAGUUUCAGACAGCUUUCAUAAAAACUAAA
This is a long non-coding RNA of Homo sapiens (human), 1617 nucleotides long. Ensembl annotates it as ATXN1 antisense RNA 1. Its record names the gene ATXN1-AS1. Lineage: Eukaryota; Metazoa; Chordata; Mammalia; Primates; Hominidae. The record is from Ensembl.